AUGUCCCCGGCGAGUCCUGGCCCAAGCCCCCACCUUCCGGUCGAGCAGAGCACAAAAUCCUCACCCCCAUCCAUCUUCCCCCUGGUUCCCUGCUGCCCCAAGACUGGCAAUGCUCCCCGGACACAAGCUUGGCCUGCCUCGUAACUGGAUAUUUCCCAGCACCAGUGGCCAUCAAGUGGAAUUCGGGAAAAGUGACCCAGGGGGUCACAACUUUCCCAGAGGUGACGAUGAGCGACAGGCUCCUCACCCGGAGCAGCCUCCUGAUCAACCCUGCCAGGUCCCGGCAGGGCGACACCUACCAGUGCGAUGUGACAAAUCAAGGGACAGCAACGACCCUGUCGAAGAAGUUCCCUCAGGAGUGGUGUGAUUCGACAACGCCACCCCAGGUUCACCUCCUGGUCCCCACCUGUGAGGAGAGCUCCACAGAGAGCCAGCUGGAGCUGGUUUGCCUCCUCCUGAGCUUCAAACCCGGCAAAGCUGACGUGAAAUGGCUGGUGAAUGGAAAGGAGAGCAGCCCCCCCAGCCCGGCCUUUUCCUCUGCCAUAGGCACAGACGGCUUCUACAUGGGGCAGAGCCGCAUGAACAUCACCAAGCAGAGCUGGGAGCAGGGGGACGUCUACACCUGUCAAGUGACCCACCCAGCAGUGGGAGCAGAGCUCUCCAUGCACAACACCAGCAAGUGCUUGGCCUGCCUCAGAAGCUCACUUGACCCAACCAUCUACUUAACCAAACCCUCCUAUGAAGACGUCAUCAAAAAUUCUGGUCACGUUACCUGUCUAGUUCUGGGCUAUGACUUAGCAGCCAGCAGAAUGGCGUGGAAAGUGGAUGGGCAGGUCAGCUCUGCGGCGAAGACAGAACCCCCCAAGAAGAACAGCAACGGGACCACCAGCCUGGUCAGUUCUCACCCUGUGUCGCUGGCACAAUGGGGACAAGGCACCAAAUUUACCUGCAAAGUGACCACACCCUGUUCUGGAGAACUAACCCAGGACAUAACCAUGAGCAAUACAGCUGAGGUGCCCUGGCAUCUCCAAGGGAAAGCUGAGGAUAACGAUCGUGAUGAUGAUCUCGAAGGAGAUGACAAUGAUGUCGAUGACAAUGAAGAAGGAAAUGAAGAUGCUGAAGGAGAAAAGGAGAAAGAAUGUCAGAAUGCUGAAGGAGAUGAUGAAGAGGAUGGUGUCAGCAACUGUAAUCGACACCCUCUGGAGGUGUCUCUCCUUCCUCCUUCCCUGGAGGACCUCUACAUAGCGCAGAACGCCACCAUCAGUUGUUUGGUGAGCGGCCUGGAGACCCCUGGCAGCCUGGAGGUCUUCUGGAACCGGGAUAGCGGGGGCCCGUUGGCCGUGGUCUCCAGGGAUCCGGUGCUGCAGGAAGAUGGCACCUACAGUGCAACCAGCAUCCUGCGGGUGUGCGUGGAGGAGUGGCAGGUGGGGGAGGAGUUCAUCUGCACCAUGAAGCACCAAGACUUCCCGUCGGCCAUUGUCAAGACCAUCCGCAAGAGUCACAUGGUCUCCCUCCGCGCCCCUUCUGUCUACAUUUCCCCUCCUCACGCUGAGGAACUGGCUCUCCGGGAAUCAGCCUCCAUCACCUGCCUGGCCUCUGGCUUCUGGCCCAGAGACAUCUUGGUGACAUGGACUCAGCAGGACCGGCCCAUGCCCCAGGAAGCCUACACCAACAUCGGCCCCGUGCGGGAGGCUGGGAAGGAGGAGCGCUACUUCAUCUACAGCAAGCUAAAAAAGCUCAAUGUCCUGGUGUCCGAAUGGGAGCCGGGGGACACCUACGCCUGCGUGGUGGGGCACGAGGGUCUGCCCAUGACCUUCAUCCACCGGAGCGUGGACAAAGCCUCCGGUAAACCCACCGCCGUCAAUGUCUCUGUGAUCUUGUCCGACACCGACGUCACUUGCUACUGAGGAGCAGAGCCCGGCAGGCUCCUCACGGCGUAUCUGAGAUGGCCUCCGAACUUCG
This is a non-coding RNA of Mauremys reevesii (Reeves's turtle), 1962 nucleotides long. Lineage: Eukaryota; Metazoa; Chordata; Testudines; Geoemydidae. The record is from the annotation of a RefSeq genome assembly.